RNAcentral lists this ribosomal RNA (433 nucleotides) under uncultured bacterium. Its description in RNAcentral is "partial 16S ribosomal RNA". It matches the Rfam family "Bacterial small subunit ribosomal RNA", at positions 29 to 507 of the family's 1533-position model. The record is from RNAcentral.
AACGAACGCUGGCGGCAUGCCUAACACAUGCAAGUCGAACGAGACCUUCGGGUCUAGUGGCGCACGGGUGCGUAACGCGUGGGAACAUGCCCUUAGGUUCGGAAUAACUCCCCGAAAGGGGUGCUAAUAACGGAUAAUGUCUUCGGACCAAAGUUUUAUCGCCUUUGGAUGGGCCCGCGUUGGAUUAGCUAGUUGGUAGGGUAAAAGCCUACCAAGGCGACGAUCCAUAGCUGGUCUGAGAGGAUGAUCAGCCACACUGGGACUGAGACACGGCCCAGACUCCUACGGGAGGCAGCAGUGGGGAAUAUUGGACAAUGGGCGAAAGCCUGAUCCAGCAAUGCCGCGUGAGUGAGGAAGGCCUUAGGGUUGUAAAGCUCUUUUACCCGGGAUGAUAAUGACAGUACCGGGAGAAUAAGCGCCGGCUAACUCCGUG